Molecule: ribosomal RNA, 172 nt
Filed under: Boana raniceps (Chaco treefrog)
Lineage: Eukaryota; Metazoa; Chordata; Amphibia; Anura; Hylidae
Description: Hypsiboas raniceps (Chaco treefrog) partial 16S ribosomal RNA
Source: RNAcentral
ACGUGAUCUGAGUUCAGACCGGAGUAAUCCAGGUCAGUUUCUAUCUAUAAAGGGCUUUUUCUAGUACGAAAGGACCGAAAAAGCAUGGCCUAUAACCCAUCAAGCCAUAUAAAUUACUAUUGUUCCCAACUUAAAUAGAAGUAAACCUACCACUUAUCUCGAUAAAAGAGAA